GCACCGUGGUUCUGGGGCCGGACUUCUCUCUCAUUUAGUAAUAUAGUAGCAUUACAUAUAUGAUUAUAACGCAGGGCGUAUAUCAAAUAAUAUUAUACGCCGCGUAGCGAAGCUUCCAGAGCGCCGCAGCGUACGUGCCGCGCGGCUCGGCGCGGCUCACGUACGCUGAAGGGCGCGCGACCUCUAAACAACAGCGCGUUACCUAGGCGACGCGCCAGCGCUCAGAUCUACUUCGCACGCGAGCGCGAUAACAUCGCGCGACGUCGCGCAUUAUUUUCGGUUUUUCUAAAAUGUCUUAAAACGUUGGUGACAGUGACAGUGGCACUUCUCGAGCACGUAGUGCCACGAUCAUUGUGGGUUAAGAGCGCCCUAUGCGCGAAGUAUGAAAUUGACGGAUAAUUACUGCAUCUUGUUUUCAUAGUGUUUUAAGAGAAAUACACUAUUGAGCCUCGUUUAUUUCAUACAUAUACAUCUUAUUCUUACUUUUACGAAUUCAGGCGACUCUCCGUCACUGUAAUUAAUCGGAAAACAUUGUUCUCUGUCUCCGAUCCGACGCGAAAAAGCUGCUGUACCAAAGUAUGUAAACACGACAUUGGAAGACUUGAUUUUUUCAUGCUGAGUGAGAGCUCGAUUCGAAGAUCUAACGUAUAGAAAGCUGUUAUUCCAGAGGAUGCAAGCAUGUUACCAGAGGAUCUGGUUCGGGCAAAGUGGGGUUGGCUCGAAGAAUUGGAAGCAGAACGUGGCCACCCCUCGCAGUAUGCUGAGGUAAGUGAGAAAACUGAUUACGAGGAAAUUUAAAGUGGUAAACAAUGAUCAAACAUUAAGAUCAGUGCGAUUUACGUUCCUUAUAGAUUUUUGUAAAAAAUAUGGCUUAAAACAAUUAGGGAAUAAUUUCUUGAAACGCUUGUGUUAUCUGAUAAAUAUUUCAAGAACAAUAAAUAUAUUUUUCUUACAAAAAUAACUUGCUUAAUCUUUAAUAUGAGUAAUAUAACGUAAUAAUAAAAUAUAUAUAUGAAUGUGAUAAUGAAAUAUACAUAUGAAAUAUAUAUAUGAAUGUGAUAAUGAAUAGCUUGAUAUAAUAAUGAACGUAUUUAUUUACAUAUGUGUGUGUUACUUUACACACAUCUAUUUAUUUUCGCACUUAUUUCAAAGUAUAAAAUUAUUUGAUGUAACUGUUCAUCUGCUAUGAUUCCCUGAUUGUUGUUGUUAUGUAUUAUGCACAUUAAAAUUGCACUACUACGCGCGAAUUUCGCAAUUGUUUAAUUUAUGUUAAUUCAGAUCUCGUAAUUGUCGCAGUCAUUUACUUCGUCAUUUUUUCAUAUGUUCGUACAUACAUAAAUUCAUGUGAUAAUUGCGCGUUUCACGGAUAUCUCGUGAGAUUAAAUUUGUCACAAUAUUGCUAAGAUAAAUAUCAACAAGUAAUUUACCGACAAAGCAAUUCAAUAUAACGGUAGCACGUGUUAUUCGUGAAAAGUAAGUCGGACAUACACAAACCGAGCUUUUCGCUUGUUUACACGUCACGAUUAUGGAGUUUAACGCCUUUUUUGUUUACAUAUCAUAUAUAACGUGAUCGACCUAUAUUUUAGAUGUUUACACAUGCAAAUGCGAAUCUAAAUUGAAAUCUUGAUUGAUGAUGCUACAUCACACAAUUUUUUUCUAUUCUUUCAGCUUUUUCUUUUCCAGCGUCAGAAAAAAACAUACAGAUUAUAAGCAAAUAAUUAUUUCUUUAUUCUCUUCAUUGAUCUUUAUUAGAUUAUUUAAGUAAUGCAUACUCUCCGUAAAUCGCACUGAUUUUUAACGAAAAACGCAAGCGGCUGCCCGCUGCGACUUCAGACUGAAUAGUUUGAAAGCGCCAUAGCGUGUUCACACGUAAACACCGCAUCGCGUAUCUCAAUCGUUGAGAUGAUUUGCUACGGAGUGGAACGCGGCGCAAUCUCGUAAGCCGUUUCGUAUUCUCGCAAUUUUAGCUCGCUCAAGGGUGAGUCUCGUGCGCGAAUCGUGAUCGGGAGUGCCGCAAGUAAGUGUUCGCGCGUUCGUCGUAGAAAAACAACGUUGGAAGUGCGUGUAUCUCGCGACACUGGCCAGCGGGAGUGCCGAGAUAAGUAACGCGCGUCCGUCGUUCAAUGGCCGGUUCGAGUCGUCAAACCGUCGCGCUGACGAUUCACCGAAGGAACUUUGUGCGCGAGCUGUAAGGAAAGUAAGCGUGUUCGUGCGAUAAAAUACCGCCGAAUAGCCGCCAAAAAGAGACAGCCCGCGAGUACGGCGAAUGAGUGUCGCCCGUAUCUCAAGAUGAUAUCUCAAGCGUUACGAUGUUCAGUCAGUCGUGGAACGGCGAACGGCGCAGCAGUGCUUGGUAAGCUGCUCUACGUCUUUUGUGAUUUCGCCUAACCAAAGUGCAAAUUUUCGUUACUGAGACUGCCAAAAAUGAUUGUUGCGCGUGUGUGUGCCGGAGAACACAGUGAAUCCUGAAAGUGGACAUAUCUGAAAUAGAACAUCGGGGAUGUCGAGCGAGGUAACCGCGAUCGUUGUGAAAUGACUGUGGGAGAUUGAAAUCGUUAGACUGUGCUUGCUGGAUAAAAGCAUCGUGUGCGAAUCAUCGUGAAUACCGAAAAUGAAUCUCGUAUUGUGAGUAGAAUAUCGUGAAAUAGACACGGACGAUAAGUAUCUCGUGGAGUCGCCAGGAGUGUCGCGUAAAUUUCACUUCGAGCUCGCCUACGCGCCCCUCCUCUCUUUUGGAUAUCGAUCUCAAAAUUGUAUUAAAAAGCUGACAAUCCUCUCAACGGAAAAGAUUGAAUACACGUUCGAAUUGACUAUAUUGAGAUACGGGUAGUUAAGUGCGCUCGUGGCCCACAGAUGGCGGGAGUGCGGCUCGAUCGAUGAGAAACCGAAUCAGCUGCGAAUCCCGCCGCGGUAACAGUCGGUACAAAGCGAGCUGACCUGUCGACGGCGUAUCGCGCGUACAAACUUGCUGCUUACUUGCUGCCGCCGUCUCGCGGCGGAGUUGACGAUUGUUCGCGGCGGCGGUCGACCACACGCAGGGAUACCAACGAGCGUGUGCAGCCACGGCAUACCGUACGCGGUGUCGCGUCAUAAACAACUGCUCGUUACAUCGCCGAGCGCCUUCCCCCCCGAAUUUGUCGUGGACUGGGCCCUCGGUGGCGCACGGCCGCUCCUCGCGACCCGUCCGAUCGCCGGAAGUGAGUUACGAGCGCGUCGCGGCCGCGCAAGGACACUCGUGCUCCGUUAUUUCCACGGGGGCCCUAUCAGUAGUUCGUGUCAGUGCGCGGGUUGGCAAGCAUUGGCCAAGUGCAGUGGAGCUGCCAUUUUCCGUGUGUUGUACGGUGAUAGGGAGAAGGACAGACAGAGAGAAAGAGAGACAGACAGAGAGGGGAAGCGAAAGAGAAAAAGAUAGAGGAAGAGAGAACAGGAGAGGAACAGAGACCGAGAGAGAGUGUAGUGCUGCGGGCGGCUGAGAGGGGCGGGGGGGCUCGAGGAAGAUCCGGAUUUUCGCGCUACGAGAGACAGAUCGCCCUCGUGUGCGAGUUCGCGGGAGGAAAGAACGCGAUCGCUUUCCUCGUAGUGUCGCGCUCGUGAUCGUCGUCGUCAUCGGCACCGUCGUUGACCUCGACAUCUUCAUCGUCGUCAUCGUCGUCGUCACCGCCGUCGUCGUCGUCACCGUCGAGUCUACGCCCGCUGGCAGGUGAGAGGCGCAAGGUGGAGGCCCACGACGCGGGGGCGAGUGUUCGAAACUGGACCGACGAUCAAGGUUAGUGAUCAAGGUAAGCGUAUUAACCGAAAAAUUAGACCAGUUAGAUUGGCGAGCGACUAACGAGAGGGUAACGUACAUCUAUUGUGUGUUAUUUAACAAUGAUACUUCACAAUAAUUUGGCGAAGACCGCAAAAUUAUAUCUAAAAUAAAUCACUUUGUCUUAUCACGCGUACGAGAAGAUUUGCUUUGUUCGGCCUUGUGUGACUUGUGUGAAAGAAAAUUGAAUUAUUAACAUGCACAUUUUUUCGAUUAAACUUUCUCACACGGUUUCUUCAAAGAGAGAUUUUAUUGAUUAAUUAAUAUUUUCAACGUGUCGUUUGUCUCGUCAUCGCUGAAUUAUACGUAUUGGCAAAUUUUACAAUCAGAACAGAAUAAGACAUACGUUGUCGAGACACGCGGUUUCUAGAUGAUAACACGCGUACUCGUGUCGCGGAUUAAUUUAUUUAAGCAAUAAUUUUGCGAAUUCAUCGCGUUACCGACAGAGCCGCCGGGCAAUUUCGCUUGUGUAGCUCGUUCUCCGAUGGCGCCACCAAAUCCUACGGUCCGAUCAUCGUUUGUCAGUUAUCGAUCUUCGUACAGGUCUUUUCAUCCUCCACGGGCGUCGACACGCAGGCGCUCACGUGUCGUGUGAUAACACAGGCCGAUGCAUAUCUCCUCGUCGCAUGUGUAAGACCGAUCAAGUCGACGAACGAAAACUGCGGCACCGUAGAGCUCGCAGGAAGAAAUUAUUCUACGUGUGCGUAAAAUUUUACGCAUACGGCGAUAUUGUCGAUAAGAAUUGUCCGCAAUAUAUUACUUGGAGCGACGCUCUUUAGCAUAUUGGCGUACCCGAAUGAUAAAGAUGUUAAUUUUCUCGCUGCAAAGUAUUUAUUUACAAUGGAGACUCUCUGAAAUGUGCAUCUCUGUUCGAAUAUGCAUUUGAAUGGACACACUUUUUACGCGUUCCUCCUUGAAGCAAACAUGCUUCUUAAGAUGUUCACUGCAAAAAUCCAAGUGUGUUAUUUUAGCUAAAAAUUUUUUUACACGUUCUCAUCGUUCCAAGUCACGUUAUUUGACACAUUUAGAGAGACGUAUUGAAUUAUAAUUUACACGUCUUAAACGUGCCGAAUGACAUGAGUUAAAACCGCAACAAACGUGUACAAAGAGGUUCAGUCACGCUUACGCGUUUAAAGAUAACACACUUUGAUUUGCAGCGUUACAACUGAGAACGAUGCAAUUACGAUCAGGUGUGCAGAAGCAUAGAAAGAAAUGGUCAUCGUCGACAGAGAGAAUCUGCUGCGAUUUACAUGAAUGACGGCGUUACAUGCGCGUAUAGUAACCGGUGAGUGAAUGGAACUAGAGACCGAAUCGGAUUACAGCUAAAAACUGCCGCUCUAGAGAAAGUAUAGUGAUUGGGCACAAGAAUAACUACUUCCUGGCGGCUAGAGUAGUGAGUGGCAAAUCGGCCCAACUGUGACGGCAAGUCGGAGUGAACGAGCGAGCGAGCGAGUUCAGCUUAAAACCCGAAUCGUCCUCCAAGCUCAUUCGCUCACUCGCCGUCGUCGGGUUAUUUCAAUCGAUCGUAGCUCGCAUCUCAUCUCUCAUCAACGAGCACAUGACCUUAUUAAUGUUUACGGUGGAAAGGCGAUCACACGCGGUGGGAGGACGCCGCGUUUGAACUUUAUGUACUUAGCUCCGCGUGCCCGCCGUCCGACGCUUUUACGUAUCGGGAAAAUUAAACGCAUUAAAUUAUUAAUAACCUCCAACGUGGGGGCUCCGGGGAGAAAGGGAGAGGCACCCAAUCCGGGAGGCGAAUUUACCCCCCGGGGGAAACUCGUCCCCUUUCUGCGUGCAGCAGCGCCCUUGUCUUUCUUAUUCUCUCUUUCUCUGUCUCUCUCGACAUGUGUCUCUUUCUCUUUCUCUCUCGAGGGUCCCUCGAGCGACGAGAGGUAGCAUGUGACGCUCAGCUGUAUGUUAAAUCCCGAAAUUAUUACGGCUCGAUGUACUCUCGGAGUGUAGCGCGCGCACGCUCGUAACGAUUACACUGGCGCAGUCGUCGCACGAGGCAGCCACCCGGGGGACGAUGACGACAACAACGACGACGACGACGGGAACAUAGAGCUGGCCACGUGAUGGCGACUCCGAAAAAAGACCGGUGCCCGAAACACAGACGAGCGAUCGCCGUAGAGGGUGGGGCGCGAAAUUAUCAAUUCGUAACGAGACGAAGGGUCGAAUUAGCGUCCCGACGAGUCGAGUCGGUGGACUAGUAAUAACGGUGAAUAGUAAUGACUGGCUUUGACCGAGAACGAGGGGAGAGAUGAGUGCGAAUCGUACGGUUUCGCAUCUCAAGUCCGUGUUUUUACAAAACGCAUACUUCUCCCGCGUGACUUUAACAAGUUGAAGGAAAGAGUAACAAUG
Molecule: long non-coding RNA, 6166 nt
Organism: Odontomachus brunneus
Lineage: Eukaryota; Metazoa; Arthropoda; Insecta; Hymenoptera; Formicidae
Exons: 4
Source: RefSeq, a predicted model, not a curated record